UACGUAGGGGGCAAGCGUUGUCCGGAAUCAUUGGGCGUAAAGAGCGUGUAGGCGGUUCGGUACGUCGGCUGUGAAAGUCCAGGGCUCAACCCUGGGAUGCCGGUCGAUACUGCCGGACUAGAGUUCGGAAGAGGCGAGUGGAAUUCCCGGUGUAGCGGUGAAAUGCGCAGAUAUCGGGAGGAACACCUAUGGCGAAGGCAGCUCGCUGGGACGUUACUGACGCUGAGACGCGAAAGCGUGGGGAGCAAACAGG
Molecule: ribosomal RNA, 253 nt
Filed under: uncultured bacterium
Lineage: Bacteria
Description: partial 16S ribosomal RNA
Rfam family: Bacterial small subunit ribosomal RNA
Source: RNAcentral